RNAcentral lists this ribosomal RNA (501 nucleotides) under Laides longibarbis. RNAcentral's name for it is "partial 12S ribosomal RNA". It matches the Rfam family "Bacterial small subunit ribosomal RNA", at positions 801 to 1527 of the family's 1533-position model. Lineage: Eukaryota; Metazoa; Chordata; Actinopteri; Siluriformes; Ailiidae. The record is from RNAcentral.
AACCUAGACAUAUUUUUACAUAUAUGUCCGCCCGGGUACUACGAGCUACAGCUUAAAACCCAAAGGACUUGGCGGUGUCUCAGACCCACCUAGAGGAGCCUGUUCUAGAACCGAUAACCCCCGUUAAACCUCACCCCUUCUUGUUUUUUCCGCCUAUAUACCGCCGUCGUCAGCUUACCCUGUGAAGGACUAAUAGUAAGCAAAAUGGGCCCACCCAAAAACGUCAGGUCGAGGUGUAGCGCACGAAGGGGGAAGAAAUGGGCUACAUUUUCUAAAAAACAGAAUACUACGGAUGAGCACUCUGAAAUAUAGUGCCUGAAGGUGGAUUUAGUAGUAAAAAGCAAAUAGAGAGUCCUUUUGAAUUAGGCUCUGAGACGCGCACACACCGCCCGUCACUCUCCCCUUAUACUAAUAUGAUUAUUAUUCCUAAUACCCUACUCAACAAUAAGGGGAGGCAAGUCGUAACAUGGUAAGUGUACCGGAAGGUGUACUUGGAAUAAC